UGCCUGGAGUUCAGACGUGUGCUCUUAUUUGCCUUUGAAAGAAACAAAAAAGCCAAAAAAGCUACAUGUGUAAAAUACAUCACCAUUGACACCAGACUAUUAAUCACCAAAACACCAUACAGAACUUUAUUUUUUCCCAUAUGAACCCUAUGUUGAAAAUGUUCUGGGGAAUUACUGUUCCAAGCUGAAUUCUCUUGAGAAGCUAAAGAAUCCCAUUCAUUUUUAGUUUAAAUUGAAAUCACCAUAGCCAGAUAGGGGUGGUUUAAAACCCAGUCUGUCACCUACAAUCUCCAUGACCUUAAACUGGUUAUUUAACCUGUGAAGCUUCGAUAUCCCCAUCUGUGAAAUAACAUCCAUUCAUGGGUUUGUGAUGAGGAUUAAAGGAGAAAAACAACAUAGGUAGAGUACUUAACGUGGUCUCUGGUCCUUUAUACACUCUCAAUUAAUUAGUGUUACCAUUGCUACCUUUUAUGCCACUGCUUAUGUCUAUAUUCCUGACUUUAUUCCUAGCUUGCCUAAGAACUUGAAAUAUGCUUCAUAUCAAGGUAGAUUUAAGCAUCUAUUACUUUUUCUUUCAAUGGAAUAACAUAAGGAUUAAUUAUGGUGGACUGAAUUAUUCUCUGUGAGUAUAGUGCUGGAAGUUUUUUGUUGUUGUUAUUUGUGGGUUUUUUGUGUGUUGUUUUGUUUUUCUUUUCUUUUAAGAAAUGAUCAUCCACCCUGCUUUUAUAGAAAGAUGGGCUAUUUCAUAAUCUUAAGAGGUAUUAUGAACUUAACCAAAACAACUUUAAAACAAAAUUAAGUUUUCUAUACUUUAAAAAGUAAAUUCACAUGAUGGAGCAUAUUGCAGACUGGGAAUAUGAUGGAAGGAUAAUUUGAACAGUUGAAAACAAAACAGCAGAGAUAUGCCAUUGCAAUAUGCCAAGGAUGAUUGCUUUAAGUGUUAUAUUAGCCAGCCUAUACACAUGUACUUUUUCUAAGAAUGAACCAACAUAUUAACAAGUAUGAAGGACAGAAUAUUCAAAAACUCAUAUACAAUAUUCAGAUAUUAUUAAAAAUUAGUUUGGAGACAUGGAGUACAGAAUUGGGGCAAUGCCAACAUCUUCUGCAAAGAUGAAUUAUGGAAAGCUAAUUUUUAAAUUUUUUUAAUGUUUAUUUAUUUUUGAGAGAGAGAAACAGAGCAUGAGCAGGGGAGGGGCAGA
Molecule: long non-coding RNA, 1199 nt
Organism: Lynx canadensis (Canada lynx)
Lineage: Eukaryota; Metazoa; Chordata; Mammalia; Carnivora; Felidae
Exons: 4
Source: RefSeq, a predicted model, not a curated record